This 421-nucleotide ribosomal RNA is filed under the name uncultured bacterium. Its description in RNAcentral is "partial 16S ribosomal RNA". It matches the Rfam family "Bacterial small subunit ribosomal RNA", at positions 360 to 773 of the family's 1533-position model. The record is from RNAcentral.
AAUAUUGGUCAAUGGGGGCAACCCUGAUCCAGCCAUGCCGCGUGUGUGAAGAAGGUCUGCGGAUUGUAAAGCACUUUAAGUUGGGAGGAAGGGCUUUAGGUUAAUACCCUGAAGUAUUGACGUUACCAACAGAAUAAGCACCGGCUAACUCUGUGCCAGCAGCCGCGGUAAUACAGAGGGUGCAAGCGUUAAUCGGCAUUACUGGGCGUAAAGCGCGCGUAGGUGGUUCAGUAAGAUGGGUGUGAAAUCCCCGGGCUUAACCUGGGAACUGCUUUCAUAACUGCUGCACUAGAGUACGGUAGAGGGUAGUGGAAUUUCCUGUGUAGCGGUGAAAUGAGUAGAUAUAGGAAGGAGCACCAGUGGCGAAGGCGACUACCUGGACUGAUACUGACACUGAGGUGCGAAAGCGUGGGGAGCAAAC